AUUGAACGCUGGCGGCAGGCCUAACACAUGCAAGUCGAGCGGAUGAAGGGAGCUUGCUCCUGGAUUCAGCGUCGGACGGGUGAGUAAUGCCUAGGAAUCUGCCUGGUAGUGGGGGAUAACGUCCUGAAACGGGCGCUAAUACCGCAUACGUCCUGAGGGAGAAAGUGGGGGAGCUUCGGACCUCACGCUAUCAGAUGAGCCGAGGUCGGAUUAGAUAGUUGGUGGGUUAAAGGCCUACCAAGGCGACAAUCCGUAACUGGUCUGUGAGGAUGAUAAGUCACCCGGGAACUGAGACACGGUCCAGACUCCUACGGGAGGACGCAGUGGGGAAUAUUGGACAAGAGGCGAAAGCCUGAUCCAGCCAUGGGGCGUGUGUGAAGAAGGUCUUCGGAUUGUAAAGCCCUUUAAGUUGGGAGGAACGGCAGUAAGUUAAUACCUUGCUGUUUUGACGUUACCAACAGAAUAAGCACCGGCUAACUUCGUG
Molecule: ribosomal RNA, 484 nt
Filed under: uncultured bacterium
Lineage: Bacteria
Description: partial 16S ribosomal RNA
Rfam family: Bacterial small subunit ribosomal RNA
Source: RNAcentral